RNAcentral lists this ribosomal RNA (465 nucleotides) under uncultured bacterium. RNAcentral's name for it is "partial 16S ribosomal RNA". It matches the Rfam family "Bacterial small subunit ribosomal RNA", at positions 28 to 507 of the family's 1533-position model. The record is from RNAcentral.
GAUGAACGCUGGCGGCGUGCUUAACACAUGCAAGUCGAACGGAAAGGCUCCUGUUUGCAGGGGUACUCGAGUGGCGAACGGGUGAGUAACACGUGGGUGAUCUGCCCUGCACUUCGGGAUAAGCCUGGGAAACUGGGUCUAAUACCGGAUAGGACGAUGGUUUGGAUGCCAUUGUGGAAAGUUUUUCGGUGUGGGAUGAGCUCGCGGCCUAUCAGCUUGUUGGUGGGGUAAUGGCCUACCAAGGCGUCGACGGGUAGCCGGCCUGAGAGGGUGUACGGCCACAUUGGGACUGAGAUACGGCCCAGACUCCUACGGGAGGCAGCAGUGGGGAAUAUUGCACAAUGGGCGCAAGCCUGAUGCAGCGACGCCGCGUGGGGGAUGACGGCCUUCGGGUUGUAAACUCCUUUCGCUAGGGACGAAGCGCAAGUGACGGUACCUGGAGAAGAAGCACCGGCUAACUACGUG